AUUGAACGCUGGCGGCAGGCCUAACACAUGCAAGUCGAGCGGAUGAAGGUAGCUUGCUCCUGGAUUCAGCGGCGGACGGGUGAGUAAUGCCUAGGAAUCUGCCUGGUAGUGGGGGAUAACGUCCGGAAACGGGCGCUAAUACCGCAUACGUCCUGAGGGAGAAAGUGGGUGAUCUUCGGACCUCACGCUAUCAGAUGACCCUAGGUCGGAUUAGCUAGUGGGUGGGGUAAAGGCCUACCAGGGCGACGAUCCGUAACUGGUCUGAGAGGAUGAUCAGUCACACUGGACCUGAGACACGGUCCAGACUCCUACGGGAGGCAGCAGUGGGGAAUAUUGGACAAUGGGCGAAAGCCUGAUCCAGCCCUGCCGCGUGUGUGAAGAAGGUCUUCGGAUUGUAAAGCACUUUAAGUUGGGAGGAAGGGCAGUAAGUUAAUACCUUGCUGUUUUGACGUUACCAACAGAAUAAGCACCGGCUAACUUCGUG
RNAcentral lists this ribosomal RNA (484 nucleotides) under uncultured bacterium. RNAcentral's name for it is "partial 16S ribosomal RNA". It matches the Rfam family "Bacterial small subunit ribosomal RNA", at positions 30 to 507 of the family's 1533-position model. The record is from RNAcentral.